AGCUUCUUCUUAUAAACAGCUCUGAGCAGCACACAAGAGGAGCUCACAACACACACACAGAGAGAGAGAGAAAUCACAAUGCUGUAUAUUUUGGGGAUUGUUUUGGGGCUCGUUGGCAUCAUCAAGUGCAUGUCACAUGGCCUGAGUCAGAUUCAAACCAAAGCCGGAAAUGCCUCUCAAGACAAAAACUUGCUUUACAAAAAUAAGAGAAUGAAAGAUCAGGAGGUUUACCUCAUCAUUAAGCUCCUGACCGCUGGGCUGGUGGACGCAGACCCAAACACCCUGCACCACAUUAAAGAAUACAGAGACCUGAGAGGAAGCUCAACCUGAGGGAGGAAAUGACAGCAGGAUGAUUAUCUGAGAGGGAAACCCGAGAGCGGGGGUUUACCUUUAUUUAAGAGGAAGGGGGAAGUCCUUGGAAUGACCACAAAAUGUUUUACUAAGAACAUCUGGAUCUGUUCUGAAAGACUCCAGUGAAAUGAAUAGAAAAGACUGAUAAUUAUUCAUCGAUUCUCAAGAUCAACAGAUAUUUUCUGGAGUUAGUUGAAAUGAUCCACUGUGAACACUCAUCACAUCCAGUGGGCAUUCAAACACUCCUGCACUCAUUCAGUUUAAUGGUCAGCUAAAGAAAGAGAGAGAUCGUUAAAUUGUAUAUCACAGAAAUUAAAGUACAAAAUCAGUCACUGGGGCGGUACCUUACCAAAAAGAAACCUACUUACGUUUUUAUUCCUAACACGUACUUAAAGGGAAAUAGCAAUACCUAAAAAAAGUAUAAAUGUGUAACAGUGUACCUCAUAGUAUACCUUAAAGGUACAAAAGAGUACGCUAAAGUUGACUUUAAGUUACUUUUAUUCAAUCAACAAGAUUUGUUUUGACUGCAAAUGGCACAGGCUUCUCCCAAAUGAUAGUAGGGCAAUGUACAUGAGGCAUCACUGUGGGAAAAAAAAAUAUU
This is a long non-coding RNA of Danio rerio (zebrafish), 952 nucleotides long. The record is from RefSeq and is marked validated. Lineage: Eukaryota; Metazoa; Chordata; Actinopteri; Cypriniformes; Danionidae.